AGCUUUGCGCAGUGGCAUUACCGUAGCUGAUGAGGUCCAUCCGAGGCGCGGUUAUUGCUGAUUGAAAACUUUUCCCAAUACCCCGCGAGACGACUUGAAGCAUAGUCGGCUGGCAGGCCAAUACCUGCAGUUAAUAUUUAAUA
This is a non-coding RNA of Nematostella vectensis (starlet sea anemone), 143 nucleotides long. Lineage: Eukaryota; Metazoa; Cnidaria; Anthozoa; Actiniaria; Edwardsiidae. The record is from Rfam.